UGGGGAAUAUUGCACAAUGGGCGCAAGCCUGAUGCAGCCAUGCCGCGUGUAUGAAGAAGGCCUUCGGGUCGUAAAGUACUUUCAGCGGGGAGGAAGGGAGUAAAGUUAAUACCUUUGCUCAUUGACGUUACCCGCAGAAGAAGCACCGGCUAACUCCGUGCCAGCAGCCGCGGUAAUACGGAGGGUGCAAGCGUUAAUCGGAAUUACUGGGCGUAAAGCGCACGCAGGCGGUUUGUUAAGUCAGAUGUGAAAUCCCCGGGCUCAACCUGGGAACUGCAUCUGAUACUGGCAAGCUUGAGUCUCGUAGAGGGGGGUAGAAUUCCAGGUGUAGCGGUGAAAUGCGUAGAGAUCUGGAGGAAUACCGGUGGCGAAUGCGGCCCCCUGGACGAAGACUGACGCUCAGGUGCGAAAGCGUGGGGAGCAAACAGG
Molecule: ribosomal RNA, 429 nt
Filed under: Chloroflexota bacterium
Lineage: Bacteria; Bacillati; Chloroflexota
Description: Chloroflexi bacterium partial 16S ribosomal RNA
Rfam family: Bacterial small subunit ribosomal RNA
Source: RNAcentral